Molecule: ribosomal RNA, 406 nt
Filed under: uncultured bacterium
Lineage: Bacteria
Description: partial 16S ribosomal RNA
Rfam family: Bacterial small subunit ribosomal RNA
Source: RNAcentral
AUUGAACGCUGGCGGCAGGCUUAACACAUGCAAGUCGAACGAGUUGCGGACGGGUGUGUAAUGUCUGGGAAAUGGCCUGAUGGAGGGGGAUAACUACUGGAAACGGUAGCUAAUACCGCAUACCAUCAGAUGUGCCCAUAUGGGAUUAGCUCGUAGGUGGGGUAAUGGCUUACCUAGGCGACGAUCCCUAGCUGGUCUGAGAGGAUGACCAGCCACACUGUAACUGAUACACGGUCCAGACGCCUACGGGAGGCAGCAGUGGGGAAUAUUGAGCAAUGGGCGCAAGCCUGGUGCAGCCAUGCCGCGUGUGUGAAGAAGGCCUUCGGGUUGUAAAGCACUUUCAGCGAGGAGGCGUUACUCGCAGAAGAAGCAACGGCUAACUCCGUGCCAGCAGCCGCGGUAAUUC